UACGGGGGGAGCAAGCGUUGUUCGGAUUUACUGGGCGUAAAGGGCGCGUAGGCGGCCAGCACAAGUCAGUUGUGAAAUCUCCGAGCUUAACUCGGAAAGGUCAACUGAUACUGUGCGGCUAGAGUGCGGAAGGGGCAACUGGAAUUCCUGGUGUAGCGGUGGAAUGCGCAGAUAUCAGGAGGAACACCGGUGGCGAAGGCGGGUCUCUGGGCAAUUCCUGACGCUGAGGCGCGAAAGCGUGGGGAGCAAACGGG
Molecule: ribosomal RNA, 254 nt
Filed under: uncultured bacterium
Lineage: Bacteria
Description: partial 16S ribosomal RNA
Rfam family: Bacterial small subunit ribosomal RNA
Source: RNAcentral